Long non-coding RNA from Amphiprion ocellaris (clown anemonefish), 1074 nucleotides. NCBI's taxonomy places the organism in Eukaryota, Metazoa, Chordata, Actinopteri, Pomacentridae. The record is from Ensembl.
CACAACAACUGCUCAAACCAUAAAUACAAUGGCUGAGUCCACAACUAGAACGGCUCCAACCACAACUACAACUGUUUCAACCACAACUACAACGGCUCCAACAACAACUACAACUGUUCCAACCACAACUUCAACUGCUCCAACCACGACGACAACUGCUCCAACCACAACGACUACAACUGCUCCAACCACAACAACAACUGCUCCAACCACAACUACAACGGCUGCAACCACAACUACAACGGCUCCAACCACAACUUCAACUGCUCCAACCACAACAACUGCUCCAACCACAACGACCACAACUGCUCCAACCAUAACAACCACAACUACUCCAACCACAACGACAACAACUGCUCCAACCACAACAACAACUGCUCAAACCACAACUACAACGCCUCCAACCACAACUACAACUGUUUCAACCACAACUACAACGGCUCCAACAACAACUACAACUGCUCCAACCAUGACAAAAACUGCUCCAACCACAACGAGCACAACUGCUCCAACCACAACAACCACAACUACUCCAACCACAACGACCACAACUAUUCCAACGACGACUACAACUGCUGCAACCACAACAACCACGGCAACAACAGCGACUGUUUCUCCAACCACAACUACAGCUGCCACAACGACAACAGUUGCUCCAACCACAACGACCACAACUGCUCCAAUCACAAGAACAUCUUCAACGACCACAACUGGUGUCACCACAACAGCUUCUCCAAUCAGACCCACUACUUCACCAACCACAACUACAACUGCUCCAACAACAAAUAUGACUCCAACAACGACCACAGUUGCUACAACCGCAACAACAAGCGCUUCCUCCUCUGACAUUAUCCACAAUACAAACUUACUGUUUGUCAUAGCAGUUGCUACAGCAGCCAUUUGGAAUUAAAAAGAGGACUAAUGGACUGACGUUCGGGAAUUCUUCUGCAAGUUCUACAAUAGCUUUUGUUCAUGCUCACAAGACUGUAGGAUUUGCUCUAAUUUAUUCUUAUUUAUCUUAUAAGUUGUGAUCAAUCAUUUUAUGUAUCAUUCUGUACAUGAUUUAGCUUCCAC